AAUUUUUAUGGAGAGUUUGAUCCUGGCUCAGGAUGAACGCUGGCGGCGUGCCUAAUACAUGCA
Molecule: ribosomal RNA, 63 nt
Filed under: Staphylococcus aureus
Lineage: Bacteria; Bacillati; Bacillota; Bacilli; Caryophanales; Staphylococcaceae
Also listed under: 1 other name
Description: partial 16S ribosomal RNA
Rfam family: Bacterial small subunit ribosomal RNA
Source: RNAcentral